This 758-nucleotide long non-coding RNA is filed under the name Gallus gallus (chicken). Its description in RNAcentral is "lncRNA (ENSGALG00010017994.1)". The record is from RNAcentral. Lineage: Eukaryota; Metazoa; Chordata; Aves; Galliformes; Phasianidae.
GAGAGUAGGGCGUGGGAGUCACGUCGGUAGCGCGUUGCGUAAGGCACCAUCCUGACGAGCACUAGCACAUGCUUUAUUGAUUAGACACUGCCUGAGCCCGGCACACACGUUGGCUAAGUGCAGCUCCACAAAGACCAGCCCCACGCCAAUGAAAGGGGCCACCGAAGCAUUAAAAUCCCACGGUUGCUGUAAAGGAAGCAGCCCCAGGACAUAAAAUUCUGGAUGCUACAGCACAUGGCAAAUGCCCAACUGCACCUAUACCAAGAAAGUCACUGUGUAAUUAUGAGAACUGGGCAUAACCUUUGUGCGGUUUAAAAAGUACUGAACAUGCCAAGAAGCAACAACGGAUUGUCUUCAGGAAACAGUAUAAAUGAGUGGUGAAGGCACUCCUGACAUCGUGGCGUGGUGUAAGGAGGAGAGCAAAGCAAAAUUUGGGGAAUCCUUUCCACUAUUAGAGGGAAUUUCUCCAAGCUGUAUCUUUUUACCAGGUGCUGAUGGCUGCAGCAGAGAGCCCGGAGCUGAGCAGAAAAUGCGAACGGGUCAUUGCAUCAACAGCUGGAAAAAGGCAGUGGCUGUGAACAUGGUUUCAGAGGCAGUGGAAGGAAGCUGGGAUCGCUUCACUGACCAGCCGGAACAUCCAGCCAGUACAUUAACUGCCCUGCUGCCCUGAUCUGAUGUGGUUUUACAGACAAUAGCUACUGGCUAUUUAGGCAAUGUAUAAAUUAGCAUAUUCUGCACAAACGAGGAGCAUAUUUAAA